CUUGACACUGAACACUGGUCCUUGAUGUGUAGGAUAGGUGGGAGGCUUUGAAGCGUGGACGCCAGUCUGCGUGGAGCCAACCUUGAAAUACCACCCUUUAAUGGCUGGUGUUCUAACGUAGACCCGUAAUCCGGGUUGCGGACAGUGUCUGGUGGGUAGUUUGACUGGGGCGGUCUCCUCCUAAAGAGUAACGGAGGAGCACGAAGGUUAGCUAAUCCUGGUCGGACAUCAGGAGGUUAGUGCAAUGGCAUAAGC
RNAcentral lists this ribosomal RNA (255 nucleotides) under Silvania hatchlandensis. Its description in RNAcentral is "partial 23S ribosomal RNA". It matches the Rfam family "Bacterial large subunit ribosomal RNA", at positions 2110 to 2364 of the family's 2925-position model. The record is from RNAcentral. Lineage: Bacteria; Pseudomonadati; Pseudomonadota; Gammaproteobacteria; Enterobacterales; Enterobacteriaceae.